UACAGAGGUCUCAAGCGUUGUUCGGAUUCAUUGGGCGUAAAGGGUGCGUAGGUGGCGCCGUAAGUCAGGUGUGAAAUUUCGGAGCUUAACUCCGAAACUGCAUUUGAUACUGCGGUGCUUGAGGACUGGAGAGGAGACUGGAAUUUACGGUGUAGCAGUGGAAUGCGUAGAGAUCGUAAGGAAGACCAGUGGCGAAGGCGGGUCUCUGGACAGUUCCUGACACUGAGGCACGAAGGCCAGGGGAGCAAACAGG
RNAcentral lists this ribosomal RNA (253 nucleotides) under uncultured bacterium. RNAcentral's name for it is "partial 16S ribosomal RNA". It matches the Rfam family "Bacterial small subunit ribosomal RNA", at positions 524 to 776 of the family's 1533-position model. The record is from RNAcentral.